This is a long non-coding RNA of Sapajus apella (tufted capuchin), 3658 nucleotides long. RefSeq lists it as uncharacterized. Lineage: Eukaryota; Metazoa; Chordata; Mammalia; Primates; Cebidae. The transcript is spliced from 2 exons. The record is from RefSeq and is a predicted model, not a curated record.
GACUGAGGCACGAGAAUUGCUUGAAGCUGGGAGGUAGAAGUUACGGUGAGCUGAAAUAUAUAUGUGUAUAUCUAGAUGUGAUUACCCAGGUACAAGACAGUACAAAUAAAACAGAAACAAGUAGAUUCAACUAAAAUAAGACUAUGUCAAAGAAUGUAACAAUCAAAUGUUCAGAGGUAGAGGAAAAUUUAAACAGCCCUAAAAACUGCAACAAAACAAAAAAAUUAUAAAGGAGCUCUGAUACAUCUGGUAGUGAAGAGUUUAAAAUCUAGGAGUAUGAUGGCAUAUUUAUUGUUGAAGGAAAUAACCUGCCAAAUUAGAAUAUCAAAUCCAGCAAAAUAUUCUUCAAACUUGAAAAAAUGCUUUGCUAGGCACACAACAGGUGAGGAAUUUUUGUCAACAUCAGACCUGUCUUAACAUGAAAUGCUGAAAAUGUAAUUCAAUCUGAAAAGGACAUUAAUGAGCAAAAGGAAAACGUCUGAAUGUUUACAACUCAUAGAAAAAGGUACACAGACAAAUAUAGAAUCCUUUAAUGGUGUAAGAAAGAAGAGGAAGAAAUAGUCACUCAUAUUAGAAAGGGAGAAUUAUAAAUAACCCAAUAGAUACAAAUAAAAUUAAAUAUAUGGGAAGAAACUUAACCAAUAAAGUAAAAUGUAUGUACAAGGAAAACUAUGAGUCAUUGAUAGAAAAUGAAUAGGACACUAGUAAAUCAAAAUAUACUGCAUGUUCAUUUAGUAGGAGAAGAUGUAUUGUUAAAAGCCCAUACUAUGUAUAGCAAUGUAUAGUUUGAAAAUGACAGUGUGUUUUUUUCACAGAAAUAGGAACAAGACAAAGAACAGACAGUAAUCCUGAGCCAAAAGAACAAAGCUGGAAUUAUCAGAUUACCUGACUUAAAGUUAUAUGACAAUAUAACGUUAACCAAAUCUGAUGUGACUUGCAUACAUACACAUACACAGCAAUGUAACAUCUACAAACCAGAAAUCCAUGUAUUGAAACUAAACUUGGCUUAUCAGAGAGCUCCAACAGAUCAGGCUCCAUAGGCUUACCUGCUGCCAGCACAAAUCUAUUUAUAGGUGUUAGUAAUCCCGCCCCUACAGGGCCACCACCACUGUGCAUGAACAAUGGUAACCUUACCCUUUGUGUGUUGUUACUGAUGCAAAUGAGCACCAGCAACUCCACCCUUGCCAUUCUUCCCCAAGUGCAAAUGUGCAGAUGGGUGGCAACCAACUAGCCUCCUCCAGGGCUUUGUAUCUGUUGCAGCCACUGGCAUGAGUUCUAACAUGAACAAUGCUAGACCCUCCUCUUCCAGUGCCCCUCCCCAUCUGACACAUGUGCACACUUCCAUGCUGUUGAAACUGUUGGCAUAAGCAAGUGAGCAUGGAUUCCACUGCCACCAGCCCAAUGAUAUACUAUGGCUGCCACCCUUCUAUUUGAAUACUGUGGGCAUUAUAACAGGAAUACAUCAGCCCCUCCAGUUCAGUAGGUUUCUAACCUUGAGCGACCAGAGAACAGACUAGUUUCUUGACCCUGCUUUCCCAGAGGUAGAACAUGCAGCCCAGGAAUCCUGAGGUCAGCCUUGUUCCCCUAAAAUCAUCCAGAAAUAAAGCCAUUCAGCUGAACCAACUUCACCCCUCAAACCCCAAGGGCAUUGAAGUUGAAAGAAAAAUGUCAUACAAAGCACAGCAUCUUCAAAUAUUGAAAGAAUAUUAGCCCACAUACAUAAGAAGAAAGUACUUCCAGAACUCUGGCAGUUGUAAAAUCCAGAGUUCCAAACUCUGGCUUCCAAAGGGCCACACUAGCUCUCUGGCAGAUGUUCUUAACCAGGCUGAGAUGGGUUAAAUGACAGGGUUAAGAAUAUGGGUAUGAAUGAAGACUAUUGAGAUUCAGAAGAAAGGUGAAACUGAAUCUAAAGAAUCUAAGGAAAAUAAUAGAACAAUACAGAUGUUAGAAACUGAAAUGCCCAUUUCAACAAAGAGGCAAAUUGACCUUGUAGAGCUGAAAAGCACACUACAUAAUUAUGUAAUAUAAUUGGGAGUAUCGGCAGAGUAGAUGAAGCUGAGGAGAGUCUCAGAGCUCCAAGAUUGUUUAGUUGAAUUAGUUGUCAAAUAUUUUAAAAAGAAUUUAAAAACUGAACAAAAUCUCUGUGCAAUACGGCAUUUAAACCUAUGAGUCACUGACAUUCCCAAAAAAAAGGCAGAGAAAACAAGCAACUUUUUAGUUUAUUGUCUGUGAAUUUUUCUGCAACCUUGCUAGACAUACCAAAAUUUAAAUUCAGGAAAUUCUGACAGCCCUGUAAAAUACUGUCUCUCAGGCAGCUAUCAGAUUGAAAUGAAAGAAAAUGUCCAAAUCAACUAUAGAGAAGGGCUGGGUAAACUACAAAGGGAAGCCCAUCAGGCUGACAGCAUACCUUUCAGUAGGUUCCCUGUAUGCCAGAAGAUAUGGAUACCUAUAUUCAGUGUUUUUAAUAAGAAGUAAUUCCAACCAGUAAUUUCAUAUUCAGCCAAAUUAAGCUUUAUAGGUGAAAGGGAAAUAAGAUCUUUUACAGGCAAGCAAGUGCCAAGGCAUUUCAUUACCACCAGACCUGCCUUACCAGACAUCCUUAAGUGAGUGCUCAAUAUGGAAAGGAAUGACCAUUACUGGCCACCAAAAAACACAUUUAAGUACACAGACCACUGACACUAUAAACCAAAUGCACAAUUAACUCAACAGAAUAAUCAGCAACCAGCUAAUAGUAAUACAGAAUUAAAUAUGCACAUAACAGUGUUAAGCUUGAACUUAAGUAGGUUACUGUCCUAAUAAAUUGUGAAGAGAGGCAAGUUGGAUAAAGAAGACCCAACUCUAUACACUGUCUUCCUGAAACCAAUUUCAGAAGUAAUGGCACCCAUUUAUUCAAGGUAAAGAGAUGGAGAAAAUUCUACCAAGCAAACAGAAAAAAGGAAGAGAGACAGAUUGCUAUUCUAAUUUCAUAGAAAAUAGACUUUAAAACAGCAAUUAUCAAUAAUAACAAAGGUAUUUUAUAAUCAUAAAGGCUUCAACUCAACAAGAGCUAACUAUUCAAAAUAUAUAUGCACUGAACACAGGAUUAUGCGCAUUUGUAAAAGAAGUUCCUACAGACCUAUGAAGAAACGUAGAUAAGCAGACAAAUGCGAAACUUGACCACCCCAUUGACUCUAUUAAUCAGGUCACUGAGCCUGAAGUCUAACUUAUUUUGGUUCUGUACUUGACACUUGACCAAAUGGACCUAUCAGACAUCCGUAUUAAUCUCCACCCAAAACCACAGAGUGUACAUUCUUCUCAUCUGCACAUGGCACAUACUCUACAGUCGACCACACAGUGGAUCAUAAAACAGUCCUCACCAAAUUCAAAUAGCAAAAUCAUACUAAACAGAUCUUUGGACCAGAACACAAUAAAAACAGAAAUCAACACACAAAAAAAAGAUUACCUAAAACUAUACAAUUACAUGGAAAUUAAACAACUUGAUCCUUAAUUAUAUUGGUAUAAAUAAUGAAAAGGCAGAAAUUAACAAGUUCAGUAUCUCAAUUUAACAUGCUAGCAUCACAACCAGAGGAACUAAAAAACAAACUAAUUCCAAAGCUAGCAGCAGGUAAGAAAUAACUAAGAUAACCAAUUUUUAAAUUGAUUCAGUAAUAAAAACUAU